This 393-nucleotide ribosomal RNA is filed under the name uncultured bacterium. RNAcentral describes it as "partial 16S ribosomal RNA". It matches the Rfam family "Bacterial small subunit ribosomal RNA", at positions 523 to 918 of the family's 1533-position model. The record is from RNAcentral.
AUACGGAGGAUGCGAGCGUUAUCCGGAUUUAUUGGGUUUAAAGGGUGCGUAGGCGGACGAUUAAGUCAGCUGUGAAAUGCCCGCGCUUAACGCGGGAAGUGCAGUUGAUACUGGUUGUCUGGAGUGCCGUUGCCGUGGGGGGAAUGUGUAGUGUAGCGGUGAAAUGCAUAGAUAUUACACAGAACGCCGAUUGUGAAGACACCUCACGAAGCGGUAACUGACGCUGAGGCACGAAAGCGUGGGGAUCGAACAGGAUUAGAUACCCUGGUAGUCCACGCAGUAAACGAUGAUGACUAACCGUCGGCGAUACACAGUCGGCGGCUAAGCGAAAGCGAUAAGUUAUCCACCUGGGGAGUACGUUCGCAAGAAUGAAACUCAAAUGAAUUGACGGGG